Molecule: non-coding RNA, 26 nt
Filed under: Rattus norvegicus (Norway rat)
Lineage: Eukaryota; Metazoa; Chordata; Mammalia; Rodentia; Muridae
Source: RNAcentral
UAGAAUCAGAUUUGUGUGGUAGAAAU